This 465-nucleotide ribosomal RNA is filed under the name uncultured bacterium. RNAcentral's name for it is "partial 16S ribosomal RNA". It matches the Rfam family "Bacterial small subunit ribosomal RNA", at positions 338 to 795 of the family's 1533-position model. The record is from RNAcentral.
CCUACGGGAGGCAGCAGUGGGGAAUAUUGCGCAAUGGGCGAAAGCCUGACGCAGCGACGCCGCGUGAGGGAUGAAGGUCUUCGGAUCGUAAACCUCUGUCAGCAGGGAAGAACGGUCACUGUGCUAAUCAGCAGUGAAUUGACGGUACCUGCAAAGGAAGCACCGGCUAACUCCGUGCCAGCAGCCGCGGUAAUACGGAGGGUGCGAGCGUUAAUCGGAAUUACUGGGCGUAAAGCGCGCGUAGGCGGUAUGUGAAGUCAAGGGUGAAAUCCCCGGGCUCAACGUGGGAACUGCCUUUGAAACUGGCAAACUGGAGUGUGGGAGAGGAGAGUGGAAUUCCAGGUGUAGGGGUGAAAUGCGUAGAGAUCUGGAGGAACAUCGGUGGCGAAGGCGACUAUCUGGCACAUAACUGACGCUGAGGAGCGAAAGCGUGGGUAGCAAACAGGAUUAGAUACCCGUGUAGUC